This is a long non-coding RNA of Rhipicephalus microplus (southern cattle tick), 249 nucleotides long. The record is from RefSeq and is a predicted model, not a curated record. Lineage: Eukaryota; Metazoa; Arthropoda; Arachnida; Ixodida; Ixodidae.
UGUUGAGCGCCGACCGCUACCGCUAUGCCCGCAACGCCUACAAGCUUCGCGUAUGAUGUGACCGCCGCGACCACAAUCGAACCAGUGGCAUUCGGGUCAGCAGUGGAGCACCCUAUAGCGACUGGUCCACCGAGGUGGACGCGAACCUAUAGCGACCGGUCCACCGAGAUGGACGCGAAACGAGGGCCAAUUAGUGAAUAGCAUGUCGAGGCUAUUCAAAACAAAGAUAAAUAUAAUAACAAGCUGAGA